This 800-nucleotide ribosomal RNA is filed under the name Bacillus subtilis. RNAcentral's name for it is "bacterial SSU rRNA". It matches the Rfam family "Bacterial small subunit ribosomal RNA", at positions 557 to 1356 of the family's 1533-position model. Lineage: Bacteria; Bacillati; Bacillota; Bacilli; Caryophanales; Bacillaceae. The record is from RNAcentral.
GGCGUAAAGGGCUCGCAGGCGGUUUCUUAAGUCUGAUGUGAAAGCCCCCGGCUCAACCGGGGAGGGUCAUUGGAAACUGGGGAACUUGAGUGCAGAAGAGGAGAGUGGAAUUCCACGUGUAGCGGUGAAAUGCGUAGAGAUGUGGAGGAACACCAGUGGCGAAGGCGACUCUCUGGUCUGUAACUGACGCUGAGGAGCGAAAGCGUGGGGAGCGAACAGGAUUAGAUACCCUGGUAGUCCACGCCGUAAACGAUGAGUGCUAAGUGUUAGGGGGUUUCCGCCCCUUAGUGCUGCAGCUAACGCAUUAAGCACUCCGCCUGGGGAGUACGGUCGCAAGACUGAAACUCAAAGGAAUUGACGGGGGCCCGCACAAGCGGUGGAGCAUGUGGUUUAAUUCGAAGCAACGCGAAGAACCUUACCAGGUCUUGACAUCCUCUGACAAUCCUAGAGAUAGGACGUCCCCUUCGGGGGCAGAGUGACAGGUGGUGCAUGGUUGUCGUCAGCUCGUGUCGUGAGAUGUUGGGUUAAGUCCCGCAACGAGCGCAACCCUUGAUCUUAGUUGCCAGCAUUCAGUUGGGCACUCUAAGGUGACUGCCGGUGACAAACCGGAGGAAGGUGGGGAUGACGUCAAAUCAUCAUGCCCCUUAUGACCUGGGCUACACACGUGCUACAAUGGACAGAACAAAGGGCAGCGAAACCGCGAGGUUAAGCCAAUCCCACAAAUCUGUUCUCAGUUCGGAUCGCAGUCUGCAACUCGACUGCGUGAAGCUGGAAUCGCUAGUAAUCGCGGAUCACAUGCG